AGUGAACGCUGGCGGUAGGCCUAACACAUGCAAGUCGAACGGCAGCACAGUAAGAGCUUGCUCUUACGGGUGGCGAGUGGCGGACGGGUGAGGAAUACAUCGGAAUCUACUUUUUCGUGGGGGAUAACGUAGGGAAACUUACGCUAAUACCGCAUACGACCUACGGGUGAAAGCAGGGGAUCUUCGGACCUUGCGCGAUUGAAUGAGCCGAUGUCGGAUUAGCUAGUUGGCGGGGUAAAGGCCCACCAAGGCGACGAUCCGUAGCUGGUAUGAGAGGAUGAUCCGCCACACGGGAACUGAGACACGGUCCAGACUCCUACGGGAGGCAGCAGUGGGGAAUAUUGGACAAAGGGCGCAAGCCUGAUCCAGCCAUACCGCGUGGGUGAAGAAGGCCUUCGGGUUGUAAAGCCCUUUUGUUGGGAAAGAAAAGCAGCAGGUUAAUACCCCGCUGUUCUGACGGUACCCAAAGAAUAAGCACCGGCUAACUUCGUG
This 492-nucleotide ribosomal RNA is filed under the name uncultured bacterium. RNAcentral's name for it is "partial 16S ribosomal RNA". It matches the Rfam family "Bacterial small subunit ribosomal RNA", at positions 29 to 507 of the family's 1533-position model. The record is from RNAcentral.